Molecule: non-coding RNA, 265 nt
Organism: Pelobates cultripes (western spadefoot toad)
Lineage: Eukaryota; Metazoa; Chordata; Amphibia; Anura; Pelobatidae
Source: the annotation of a GenBank genome assembly
UCCCGCAAUCCAUGAACCAGUUUAGUAGCCCUUCUCUGAACCCUCUCUAAGGUAUCAAUAUCCUACUGAAGAUACGGUCUCCAGUACUGCACACAAUACUCCAAGAUUUCUUUUGUAGAUUAAUCUUCUAUAAUUUGAAAAAUGUUCCCAGAUCAAAGUGGGUCUAUCACCAGCUAUUUCGUUGCAUAAAUCAAUUUGAAACAACACUACCAUGAUGACAAACUCUAAGCUUAGGAUCAAAGUUUAAGAUUAGGUGUGAUUUGAU